GCAAAGAAAAUUUCACAGCAGAUGACUUCUUCUUCGAUGGGUUGGCCAAACCAGGACUCACCAACAACACCCUAGGCUCCCUGGUCACCGGAGCCAAUGUUGAGAAAAUCCCAGGCCUAAACACCCUUGGAGUCUCCUUGUCCCGCAUUGACUACGCCCCCGGUGGCCUUAAUCCUCCCCACACUCACCCACGAGCCACUGAGAUAAUCUUUGUCCUCGAAGGCCAGCUCGACGUGGGCUUCAUCACCACCGCUAACGUCUUGGUCUCAAAGACCAUCAACAAGGGUGAGAUAUUCGUUUUCCCAAGAGGGUUGGUGCAUUUCCAGAAGAACAAUGGCAAGGUUCCAGCCGCCGUGAUCGCUGCCUUCAACAGCCAGCUUCCGGGCACUCAAUCCAUCGCCGCCACAUUGUUUGCCGCCACACCUCCGGUUCCUGACCACGUGUUGACCAAGGCUUUCCAGGUGGGGACCAAGGAGGUUGAGAAAAUCAAGUCUAGGUUGGCACCCAAGAAGUAAUUGAAAGAGGGUGGGUGUUGGGCCUUGUCUGUUGCUAGUGUUACCACUGAAACAAUUUAUGGGAUUUGUUCUUCAUAAUAUUUAGAACUUAUUUCUUUAGUCUUUCAAAAAUGAGAAUCCUUAAUUAUUUUUCUUAUUUAGCAAAGAAAUAAAAAGAUCAACAGAGAUUUUUGAAUAUAAGAUAAGAGAAUAUUGCAUCCAAUUAACUCCAUUCUUAUAGUUUUUGAUGUCGUAUGAAACCAUAAAAAUAUGACUAGGAAGUGUGUAGAGGUUGGUGAGUUUUUAAUCCCUUCACCUAAAUUCAGAAACCGAAAUGAUAGCUAUAUCAUUAGGUGAGUUUUAAAUUUAAUGUAUAAGUACUAUUUACUUCUACAUUUAAUGAAGUUAAUUAUUU
RNAcentral lists this unclassified non-coding RNA (909 nucleotides) under Hevea brasiliensis (rubber tree). The record is from RNAcentral. Lineage: Eukaryota; Viridiplantae; Streptophyta; Magnoliopsida; Malpighiales; Euphorbiaceae.